RNAcentral lists this long non-coding RNA (631 nucleotides) under Marmota monax (woodchuck). The record is from RNAcentral. Lineage: Eukaryota; Metazoa; Chordata; Mammalia; Rodentia; Sciuridae.
AGGGGUGCAUCUUCCCCGCAGCCUCUUCCUCUGUCUCUCUGCCUCCCGGCCGCCUUGAGCUGAGCAGCUGGCCUGUGCGGGCCCUCCCCCAGGAGGUGCUGCCUCACCUGGGCCCAGAGUCGGCCGCCUAUGGACUGAGGCCUCUGAAACAUGAGCCCCAGGUAAACUUCUCCUCCUUAAGUUGUUCUUGUUGGGUAUUUUGGUCACAGUGGCACAAAAGCUCACUAAAACAGGGUUGAAACAUUACAUGGCACUCCAUAAAUAUGUAUAAUAUUUAUAUUUUUUUAGUAUCUUUUAAAAAAUAAAUUUAACCUAAGUAACUCAGCAAGACCCUGUCUCUAAAUAAAAUACAAAAAAGGGGGGCUGGAGAUGUGGCUCAAGUGGUAGUGCGUUGGUACCAAAAUAAAUAAAUAAAUUGAUUAAUUAACUAAAUUUAGCCAGACAGAGUGGCAUACACCUGAAAUCCCACAACUUGAGUGGCUGAGGCAGGAGGAUUGAAAGUUUGAGGCCAACCUCGAUAACUCAGCAAGGCUGUUAGCAACUUAGCAAAACCUUGUCUCAAAAUGAAAAACAGAAAGGGCUGGGGAUGUGGCUCAGUGGUUAAGCACCUUGGUUUAAUCCCUGGUGCUAC